GGAGAUGGGAAAGCUACUCUUUUCUGGGAGGAUAGAUGGAUCAUGGGCGGGCGAGUCAGAGAUAUAGCACCAAUAAUAUACGGUCGGGUUCCAAAACGUGUGCGGCAAUCUAAGUUGGUGGCGGAGGUGUUGCGGGAUGGCAGUUGGGCACUGCAUGUUGGCAUAGAACUGUCACUGGAGGCCCUGGAUCAAUACCUCCUCCUGUGGACUUGCGUUUCAAGCAUUACACUCGAUGAUGAAACUCCAGACUCUAUGAGCUGGACAUGGGAGAGCAGUGGAUGUUUUUCAACUCGUUCGGAUUAUGUGGUGGGGUUCUCCGGAUGGCAAGUUUCACCAACUACGGACUUCACCUGGCAAUCCAAGGCACCGCUACGGUGUCGUUUUUUCAGUUGGCUAGCCCUAAAGGAUAGAUGUUGGACGUCGGAUAGGCUUGCACGGCGCGGCCUACCUCACCAAGCAGCCUGCCCCAUGUGUGAUCAGCAACAAGAGACUAUGCAGCACCUGAUGUUGGAAUGUAGCUUUGCGAAAUAG
This 531-nucleotide ribosomal RNA is filed under the name Triticum aestivum (bread wheat). Its description in RNAcentral is "partial small subunit ribosomal RNA". Lineage: Eukaryota; Viridiplantae; Streptophyta; Magnoliopsida; Poales; Poaceae. The record is from RNAcentral.